Molecule: ribosomal RNA, 447 nt
Filed under: uncultured bacterium
Lineage: Bacteria
Description: bacterial SSU rRNA
Rfam family: Bacterial small subunit ribosomal RNA
Source: RNAcentral
AACGAACGCUGGCGGCAGGCCUAACACAUGCAAGUCGAGCGCUCUCUUCGGAGGGAGCGGCGACGGGUUAGUAACGCGUGGGAAUGUACCCUUCUCUAAGGAAUAGCCAUUGGAAACGAUGAGUAAUACCUUAUACGCCCCCCGGGUCAAACUCGGGGGGGAAAGAGUUUAUCGGAGAGGGAUCAGCCCGCGUAAGAUUAGAUAGUUGGUGGGGUAAUGGCCUACCAAGUCUACGAUCUUUAGCUGGUUUUAGAGGAUGAUCAGCAACACUGGGACUGAGACACGGCCCAGACUCCUACGGGAGGCAGCAGUGGGGAAUCUUAGACAAUGGGGCGCAAGCCUGAUCUAGCCAUGCCGCGUGUGUGAUGAAGGUCUUAGGAUCGUAAAGCACUUUCGCCAGGGAUGAUAAUGACAGUACCUGGUAAAGAAACCCCGGCUAACUCCGUG